GAUGAACGCUGGCGGCGUGCUUAACACAUGCAAGUCGAACGAAGCACUUUAUUUGAUUUCCUUCGGGACUGAUUAUUUUGUGACUGAGUGGCGGACGGGUGAGUAACGCGUGGGUAACCUGCCUUGUACAGGGGGAUAACAGUUGGAAACGGCUGCUAAUACCGCAUAAGCGCACAGCAUCGCAUGAUGCAGUGUGAAAAACUCCGGUGGUAUAAGAUGGACCCGCGUUGGAUUAGCUAGUUGGUGAGGUAACGGCCCACCAAGGCGACGAUCCAUAGCCGAGCUGGGAGGGUGACCGGCGACAUUGGGACUGAGACACGGCCCAAACUCGUACGGGAGGCAGGAGUGGGGAAUAUUGCACAAUGGGCGAAAGCCUGAUGCAGCGACGCCGCGUGAGCGAAGAAGUAUUUCGGUAUGUAAAGCUCUAUCAGCAGGGAAGAUAAUGACGGUACCUGACGAAGAAGCACCGGCUAAAUACGUG
RNAcentral lists this ribosomal RNA (481 nucleotides) under uncultured bacterium. RNAcentral's name for it is "partial 16S ribosomal RNA". It matches the Rfam family "Bacterial small subunit ribosomal RNA", at positions 28 to 507 of the family's 1533-position model. The record is from RNAcentral.